Molecule: long non-coding RNA, 563 nt
Filed under: Hordeum vulgare
Lineage: Eukaryota; Viridiplantae; Streptophyta; Magnoliopsida; Poales; Poaceae
Description: long non-coding RNA (HVUL_LNC015747)
Source: RNAcentral
UCCACUUCCAUUUUCGACCGCGGGAUCACGAUCGGGCGGUCACGGACUCGGGAAUGGAAUAGAAGGGCUAGACUGGCUGUGUAGAGUGGCUAGGUGGGGACGAGAGGGAUGGUGGGCGACGCGGCAACGAGUUUUAAAACACCAACAACCGUCCGACGAUAGACCGAAUACGGUGCCGCUACGGUCGACCGUUCGGGUAUGAGACGGAUUCCGAUCGCAAUGAAAUUGGACAGGCGGCCUAGCUAUAACUAUUACGACCGCAUGCCAAGUUUCACCCCGAUCAGAGAAAGUUUUCAACACACUUUUAAAACAGGGUUUUGACGAUGCCGCGGGCGCGUGCGAGUGCGGUCGGGCUCAGAACGGACAACGACGAGAACCGACAACUAACAACAGAUGCAAGUUUUGAAAACUGGCGGCAACGAGAUGCCGAUGCAAUGCUGAUGAUGCGCAUGAUGCGAUGAUGAUGCGACAAAAGAAAAUAGACACACGACGAAAAUGGAAAGAAAGGGGAAUCUUCUGGAACGUCGGUCUCGGGCUCUCACAACUCUCCUACACUACAAGAG